Nematostella vectensis (starlet sea anemone) is the source of this 343-nucleotide long non-coding RNA. RefSeq lists it as uncharacterized. The transcript has 3 exons. Lineage: Eukaryota; Metazoa; Cnidaria; Anthozoa; Actiniaria; Edwardsiidae. The record is from RefSeq and is a predicted model, not a curated record.
CGAGGCAUGCUGGGUUGAGGUCCUUGGCCGCCAUCUUGGUUGUUCUCCGAGACGAUGUGGUGGGAGGUUCUACCGCCAUUUGCCAUAAUGAUUGGCUGUAUUACAGUCACGGGGAUAGGGAUGAAGACAGUAGACAAGUUAUUUCACAAAGGCAAGCCUAGAAGGUAUAAUGUGGAUGAAUUUGCCAAGAGGAUGAUGGAGAGAGAUAAGGCUAUAACUGGAAGUGACUAUGUUCAGAAGGGACUAUGAUGUACGGUGCAAGAUGUUGGUGAAGGAAUGUUUAAAACCUGGAGUCUACUGCUUAUACAGAACAUAUUUGUAAAUAAACUUGUAAUUGUACUGA